Peromyscus leucopus (white-footed mouse) is the source of this 3025-nucleotide long non-coding RNA. RefSeq lists it as uncharacterized. The record is from RefSeq and is a predicted model, not a curated record. The transcript has 2 exons. Lineage: Eukaryota; Metazoa; Chordata; Mammalia; Rodentia; Cricetidae.
CUGCCAGUCAGAAGUAGUGCAGGGUCCUUCCGGUCACCAUCUUCAGGCUCGGCUUUGAAGAAAAGCUGGCGUCAUUAGAUUUGUAUGCUGUUUUGCGAGUGCUGCUGCAGGAAGCCGAGCAGAGAGCUUGGGCAAGUUGGAAACCCACAACAUGGUGAGUGAAGAGCUGCUGUCCCCAGACUGGGAGGAGUGGUCAUUUCAGUCAUGGGAGCCAGUUUGACGGGUUCUCCCUUGGCUGGGUGGGAGCCAGUGGCCAGAUGUAGAGUUCUGCGUGUUUUUGUAUGGUACUUCAUGGUCCAGCGUGUUUCUGCUCAUCCUGCAUGCUCCAUUGUGUUUCUGCAUGGCCCUGCACUGUCUUUGCAAUUUCUGGGCUGGCUGGCAGGCUUUGUGCCUUGUUGACAUCACUGUGAAAUGCUGCCAUCCUUAGUGAUUAUGUUGUUGUUAUGCAACAAAUAUUUGCCAAAUUCAGAUAGCCAUGGUUCUGUAUCUUUCGCAUUUUCCAGAAGUAUUGCACUUUGUACUUUUCAUAUUUAAAUUUAGGAUACAUGUGACAUUAAUUCUGUGGAGCUCAUAAACAGUAUCUCCUAUGUAAAGUAGCCCUCCAAAGCUAAAAUGAGAUGUAGAAAAGUAGAAUUAAUGGUAAUAGAAUUUAUAGUACAAGGUGUUACCAGUUAUUUGGACAUAUUAAUUCACAAAGGAGCAUUUAAAUAAGGGAGGGUUCCAUCUCAAAUUCCCCAAACAUAAGUAGUAUGAUGUUAGAGAUAAAUCUGAUAAGAUAUAAAUGUUUGUUUCUCAGGAUUAACCAGCUACAUUCCCAUAACAAAGGAGACAACCCUGAUUUAUAAUCAGCAGAAAGGCCCAUCUCUCCAUUUAUAAACAGGCCUCAAAAAGUGCUCAAGGGGCCAUUAUAGGGUCACAAACAACAUUAAAUCCUGAUAUGCCAUAAGGGUAUAUUAAUUCUAGAACAGGGGCAUCUCCAGUCUUUUUGAAAACCAGUUUUCAGUCAUGGUCUCUGAUGUUACUUGAGGUGAACUAGAACCCUAUCCUCCUAAGAACCCUAAAUCUUGGAUUAUAUAGCUGCAGCACCACAAAGUUCUAAAAUUACCAGUUUGUGUCAUAUAGUGGGCUGUCCAUUGUGGAACAGGAAAAGGAUUUGUGUGUGGAGCAUGGCUUCUCCCUUCAGACCAGCGGAAGAGGAGGAACAGUAUACUGUGUACACUGCAGGGGAAAACAGACUAGAUAAUAGCUUGAUCAUGACGGAAGUUGAAGGCAGUGAGCUGCAGGGGUCUCCAUUACAAGGAAGGACUGAUGGAUGGGGCAUGGUUUAAGAUGUGUACCCCGAGAGAAAUGAUGUGAGUAGUACUUGGUGUGCUUGAAUACAAAUCCCUAGCCUCUGGAGCACAUGGCCAUAAAGCCUGUUUCAACUUUUUAACAGAAUUAUUGGGGAUUAUGUUUACAUUAUUUUCAAUAUCUCUUUCCUGCCUCUAACCCCUCCCAUAGGCCUUUCCUUGUGUUCUAACCCAUGGCCUCUUCUUGUUUAACAACAUUUACUGUUUUAAUGUGACCUGUGUUUGGUUGCAGGACCUCCCAGGUAUGAAGUAAAAAAUUGGCUACACUGAACAUUGAAUGUGUAAUGGAAUGUGAACACAUAAGAUCCUGUGCCUUGCAAAAGGAAGAGGAAAUGCUCUGGGAGUUUGGAGAAUUUUACUAAACUACCAAAUCUCCAGAUUAGGAUCAUGUCUGACCAUACUGUGGAGAGGAGAGAGGAGAGAGGAGAAAAACCUGAGAAGGUUUUUGCUCUCUGAGUCAUUUGAUCGUUGCUCACCCAGUAGGGUAACUUCUAAUGUUCUGAAAUGCAACUGGGUAGUCCUAGCUAAUGAGGGACUCUGGGAAGCCUUAGCAAUCAGGAACACCAAUAGGAGGUAGCUUACAGGUUCUUUCCAGGAUUCUCUUCUUGUUCUGCUGUAGGGAGUUGUAAGGAAUUCCACAAGCCAUGCCAUGCUGAGUGUAGGGACCACUGUCACCAGACCAGGAAGAACAGGUUGGCUGAGCUGUCAGAGCUGCUUGGUCUGGGAUGAACCAUGAGCCAGAAUGACCUUCUGUUGCUUCUGUGGUAACCUGGGUAGAGGCCCUUGUCGUCUGAGCUUUGCUGAGUGUAGAUUCCCUGGGGAGGAGGAGGCUCUGCCAUCCUGGCAUGGGGGACUAUGAGCUUAUAAUAUCAUUGCAUCAUGCUAUGUAAUUGAGAAUUGCUUUGAACACCUAAUCCUGCCUCUGCUGCUUGUUGUUAGGUACACAGCCCGGCAAAUCCUACCAGUCCAGAUAAUAGAAUGUGCAAAAAAGAAAAUUCUCUGUGCUUUGGACAAGGAAUAGGAUGUGAUCUAGGAGAGUGGAAAAUGUCUACUAUAAUACAAACUUUCAUGACUAGGGCCCUUUUUGCUGGGCUGGAAGAGCAGAGCUAAAAGUGUGCUUUCUGAAUCAUUUGUUCUCUGAUCACCCAGUAGGGUAGCUGUUAAUAUUCUGAGGCCCAACUGGAUAGCCCUAGCCAAUGAGGGACUCUGGGAAGGCUUAGCAAUCAGAAGUCCUAGUGGCAGAUAGCUUGAAGGUUCUUUCUAGGAUUCUCCUUUGCUUCUGCUGUAGGGAGUUGUAAGGAAGACCAUGAGCCAUACCAUGGUGGGUGUAGGGGUUUCAGAGGUCUGUUGAUCUGUCAUUUCUACUGGAAUUUGGAUGGAAUACAAGCCAGACUAUGGUUCUGUUGGUCCAUAUAAUGGCCUCAGCAGUUGUCCUUGUCUUCUUAGCCUCCCUGUGAAUGAAUUUCCUGGGGAGGAAGAAACUCUAUAGCCCUGGCAUGGGAGGAUAUGAUGCUAAUAGUAUCACUGUUCAGUGUGCACACAUGGGCAUGCUUUUGAUGUGGAGUGAGAAGAUAUAUUAGAAAACUGAAUGUCUGGUUUCUACAAGUUUGAACAUUGAACUCCUCUUUUACAUUUGUCUUAUAAAUGCUACAAAUAAAUUAGAAACUGGCCAGGUG